Molecule: small RNA, 684 nt
Filed under: Pan troglodytes (chimpanzee)
Lineage: Eukaryota; Metazoa; Chordata; Mammalia; Primates; Hominidae
Description: retained intron
Source: RNAcentral
GAACCAGGAGCCCGAAGGCAGGGGUCUGGCCCUCCAGAAGAUGGGUCAAGAGGAAGAGAGCCCUCCAAGAGAGGAGAGGCCCCAGCAGAGUCCAAAGGAGAAGGAUUUGGGGAGGCUGAGACCUCAAGACCUGCUUGACUUUGCACCCUAUCCCCAGGCAUCUCCGGGACUGCUGGCAGCUGCCUUACAACAGAGCCAGGAACUGGCAAAGUUGGGUACCAGCUUUGCUCAGAAUGGUUUCUACCAUGAGGCCGUGGUCCUCUUCACCCAGGCCUUGAAGCUCAACCCCCAGGACCACCGGUAGGUGGGGGCUUGGCCAGGGCAGGGCAGAGUGUUGAGGACUCAGACCUUUGGCCACCUUCUGUCUUUAUCAGGUUAUUUGGAAAUCGUUCCUUCUGCCAUGAGCGGUUGGGUCAGCCAGCGUGGGCCCUGGCUGAUGCCCAGGUGGCCCUUACCCUACGGCCUGGCUGGCCCCGGGGCCUCUUCCGCCUGGGCAAGGCCUUGAUGGGACUACAGCGCUUCAGAGAGGCAGCUGCUGUGUUUCAGGAAACUCUGAGAGAUGGGUCCCAGCCUGACGCAGCCCGAGAGCUCCGCUCUUGCCUUCUCCACCUCACACUGGUAAGGGGGCCAGGCACACUGUCAUGCUGAGGCGGGUAUCAGGGAGAAUUGGCUGGGACUGCAAUA